UUGGGCGUAAGGGCUCGUAGGUGGUUGAUCGCGUCGGAAGUGUAAUCUUGGGGCUUAACCCUGAGCGUGCUUUCGAUACGGGUUGACUUGAGGAAGGUAGGGGAGAAUGGAAUUCCUGGUGGAGCGGUGGAAUGCGCAGAUAUCAGGAGGAACACCAGUGGCGAAGGCGGUUCUCUGGGCCUUUCCUGACGCUGAGGAGCGAAAGCGUGGGGAGCGAACAGGCUUAGAUACCCUGGUAGUCCACGCUGUAAACGGUGGGUACUAGGUGUGGGGUCCAUUCCACGGGUUCCGUGCCGUAGCUAACGCUUUAAGUACCCCGCCUGGGGAGUACGGCCGCAAGGCUAAAACUCAAAGGAAUUGACGGGGCCCCGCACAAGCGGCGGAGCAUGCGGAUUAAUUCGAUGCAACGCGUAGAACCUUACCUGGGUUUGACAUGGAUCGGGAGUGCUCAGAGAUGGGUGUGCCUCUUUUGGGGUCGGUUCACAGGUGGUGCAUGGCUGUCGUCAGCUCGUGUCGUGAGAUGUUGGGUUAAGUCCCGCAACGAGCGCAACCCUUGUUCACUGUUGCCAGCACGUUAUGGUGGGGACUCAGUGGAGACCGCCNGGGUCAACUCGGAGGAANGUGGGGAUGACGUCAAGUCAUCAUGCCCCUUAUGUCCAGGGCUUCACGCAUGCUACAAUGGCUGGUACAGAGAGUGGCGAGCCUGUGAGGGUGAGCGAAUCUCGGAAAGCCGGUCUCAGUUCGGAUUGGGUCUGCAACUCGACCUCAUGAAGUCGGAGUCGCUAGUAAUCGCAGAUCANCAACGCUGCGGUGAAUACGUUCC
This 823-nucleotide ribosomal RNA is filed under the name uncultured Propionibacterium sp. Its description in RNAcentral is "SSU rRNA". It matches the Rfam family "Bacterial small subunit ribosomal RNA", at positions 554 to 1374 of the family's 1533-position model. Lineage: Bacteria; Bacillati; Actinomycetota; Actinomycetes; Propionibacteriales; Propionibacteriaceae. The record is from RNAcentral.